Molecule: ribosomal RNA, 611 nt
Filed under: uncultured Psychrobacter sp.
Lineage: Bacteria; Pseudomonadati; Pseudomonadota; Gammaproteobacteria; Moraxellales; Moraxellaceae
Description: bacterial SSU rRNA
Rfam family: Bacterial small subunit ribosomal RNA
Source: RNAcentral
CGGAAGCGAUGAUAGCUUGCUAUCAGGCGUCGAGCGGCGGACGGGUGAGUAAUACUUAGGAAUCUACCUAGUAGUGGGGGAUAGCUCGGGGAAACUCGAAUUAAUACCGCAUACGUCCUACGGGAGAAAGCAGGGGAUCUUUGGACCUUGCGCUAUUAGAUGAGCCUAAGUCGGAUUAGCUAGAUGGUGGGGUAAAGGCCUACCAUGGCGACGAUCUGUAGCUGGUCUGAGAGGAUGAUCAGCCACACCGGGACUGAGACACGGCCCGGACUCCUACGGGAGGCAGCAGUGGGGAAUAUUGGACAAUGGGGGGAACCCUGAUCCAGCCAUGCCGCGUGUGUGAAGAAGGCCUUUUGGUUGUAAAGCACUUUAAGCAGUGAAGAAGACUCUUCGGUUAAUACCCGGGGACGAUGACAUUAGCUGCAGAAUAAGCACCGGCUAACUCUGUGCCAGCAGCCGCGGUAAUACAGAGGGUGCAAGCGUUAAUCGGAAUUACUGGGCGUAAAGCGAGCGUAGGUGGCUUGAUAAGUCAGAUGUGAAAUCCCCGGGCUUAACCUGGGAACUGCAUCUGAAACUGUUAGGCUAGAGUAGGUGAGAGGGAAGUAGAAUUU